RNAcentral lists this ribosomal RNA (269 nucleotides) under uncultured bacterium. RNAcentral describes it as "partial 16S ribosomal RNA". It matches the Rfam family "Bacterial small subunit ribosomal RNA", at positions 29 to 289 of the family's 1533-position model. The record is from RNAcentral.
AUGAACGCUAGCGGCAGGCCUAAUACAUGCAAGUCGAACGGGAUCCAAGAUAAAGCUUGCUUUAUUUUGGUGAGAGUGGCGCACGGGUGCGUAACGCGUGAGCAACCUACCCAUAUCAGGGGGAUAGCCCGGCGAAAGUCGGAUUAACACCGCAUAACAAUACGGGAUCGCAUGAUUCUGUAUUUAAAUAUUUAUAGGAUAUGGAUGGGCUCGCGUGACAUUAGCUAGUUGGUAAGGUAACGGCUUACCAAGGCUACGAUGUCUAGGGG